GGCCCCGAGAAGCUGAGUGGUCUAAAGCGCUUUCCGUUACGGAUCACUGCCUUCUCACCUCGGUCUGCCUGAGUUCGAGUCUCGGAUUUGGCCA
Potamilus streckersoni is the source of this 94-nucleotide non-coding RNA. The record is from the annotation of a GenBank genome assembly. Lineage: Eukaryota; Metazoa; Mollusca; Bivalvia; Unionida; Unionidae.